Molecule: ribosomal RNA, 253 nt
Filed under: uncultured bacterium
Lineage: Bacteria
Description: partial 16S ribosomal RNA
Rfam family: Bacterial small subunit ribosomal RNA
Source: RNAcentral
UACGUAGGGUGCAAGCGUUGUCCGGAAUUAUUGGGCGUAAAGAGCGUGUAGGCGGCCAGGUAGGUCUGCUGUGAAAACUCGAGGCUCAACCUCGAGACGUCGGCGGAAACCAUCUGGCUAGAGUCCGGAAGAGGAGAGUGGAAUUCCUGGUGUAGCGGUGAAAUGCGCAGAUAUCAGGAAGAACACCCGUGGCGAAGGCGGCUCUCUGGGACGGGACUGACGCUGAGACGCGAAAGCGUGGGGAGCGAACAGG